RNAcentral lists this ribosomal RNA (932 nucleotides) under unidentified eubacterium RB02. RNAcentral describes it as "bacterial SSU rRNA". It matches the Rfam family "Bacterial small subunit ribosomal RNA", at positions 444 to 1371 of the family's 1533-position model. Lineage: Bacteria; Pseudomonadati; Verrucomicrobiota; Verrucomicrobiia; Limisphaerales. The record is from RNAcentral.
ACCCAAAAACAUUGCCGAGUUGAUGNUAGCGAAAGAGGAAGGGACGGCUAACUCUGUGCCAGCAACCCGCGGUAAUACAGAGKUCCCGAGCGUUGUUCGGAUUCACUGGGCGUAAAGGGUGCGUAGGUGGCGGGGUAAGUCGGAUGUGAAAUCUCGGAGCUCAACUCCGAAACUGCAUUGGAAACUACCUUGCUCGAGGGUUGGAGGGGGGACUGGAAUUCUCGGUGUAGCAGUGAAAUGCGUAGAUAUCGAGAGGAACACCAGUGGCGAAGGCGAGUCCCUGGACAACUCCUGACACUGAGGCACGAAAGCUAGGGGAGCAAACAGGAUUAGAUACCCUGGUAGUCCUAGCCGUAAACGGUGCACGUUUGCUGUAAAAGGAAUCGACCCCUUUUGUGGCGUAGCCAACGCGAUAAACGUGCCGCCUGGGAAGUACGGUCGCAAGAUUAAAACUCAAAGAAAUUGACGGGGGCCUGCACAAGCGGUGGAGUAUGUGGCUCAAUUCGAUGCAACGCGAAGAACCUUACCUGGCCUUGACAUGUACGUAGUAGAAGGGUGAAAACCUGACGAGCUCGCAAGAGCAGCGUACACAGGUGCUGCAUGGCUGUCGUCAGCUCGUGUCGUGAGAUGUUGGGUUAAGUCCCGCAACGAGCGCAACCCUUGUGUCCUGUUGCCACCCCCGAGUAAUCGGGGAGCACUCUGGACAGACUGCCUCGCUUAAACGAGGAGGAAGGUGGGGAUGACGUCAAGUCAGUAUGGCCCUUACGGCCAGGGCUGCACACGUACUACAAUGCCCGGCACAAAGGGAAGCAAGACCGCAAGGUGGAGCAAAUCCCCAAAAACCGGGCCCAGUUCAGAUUGCCGUCUGCAACUCGACGGCAUGAAGUUGGAAUCGCUAGUAAUGGCGCAUCAGCUACGGCGCCGUGAUAAGU